UACGUAGGCGGAAAAUUAAGUCAGUAGUGAAAUCCUGCAGCUUAACUGUAGAACUGUUAUUGAUACUGGUUUUCUUGAAUAUAGUUGAAGUAGGCGGAAUGUGUAAUGUAGCGGUGAAAUGCUUAGAUAUUACACAGAACACCGAUUGCGAAGGCAGCUUACUAAGCUGUGAUUGACGCUGAGGUACGAAAGCGUGGGGAGCGAACAGGAUUAGAUACCCUGGUAGUCC
This 229-nucleotide ribosomal RNA is filed under the name uncultured bacterium. RNAcentral's name for it is "partial 16S ribosomal RNA". It matches the Rfam family "Bacterial small subunit ribosomal RNA", at positions 568 to 796 of the family's 1533-position model. The record is from RNAcentral.